CUUCGGGUUGCGCUGUAACUUUACCUUUAGGAAAUGGAGACCUUAGGUGUUAAGCUGGAUGGUACCAAUGAGGAUACCUACAACUGAGUGAAGAGAUUAUGAUAGAGCAUAUGGAGGAUGUACAAGAAUCAGCUCUGGCAUGACACCAUUGCUUCAAGGUCACACUGGAAGUGAUGUCAUCAUCAACUGGAGCUCAUGCAUGUGUUCAG
Long non-coding RNA from Eublepharis macularius, 209 nucleotides. RefSeq lists it as uncharacterized. The transcript has 3 exons. The record is from RefSeq and is a predicted model, not a curated record. NCBI's taxonomy places the organism in Eukaryota, Metazoa, Chordata, Lepidosauria, Squamata, Eublepharidae.